RNAcentral lists this transfer RNA (73 nucleotides) under Pseudomonadota bacterium. Its description in RNAcentral is "tRNA-Met". It matches the Rfam family "tRNA". Rfam says of the family: Transfer RNA (tRNA) molecules are approximately 80 nucleotides in length. Their secondary structure includes four short double-helical elements and three loops (D, anti-codon, and T loops). RNAcentral also lists the same sequence under 4 other names. Lineage: Bacteria; Pseudomonadati; Pseudomonadota. The record is from RNAcentral.
UGCGGGGUGGAGCAGUUGGUAGCUCGCGAGGCUCAUAACCUCGAGGUCACAGGUUCGAGUCCUGUCCCCGCUA